This 58-nucleotide transfer RNA is filed under the name Mus musculus (house mouse). The record is from Rfam by way of RNAcentral. Lineage: Eukaryota; Metazoa; Chordata; Mammalia; Rodentia; Muridae.
UGGCUCAGUGGUUGAGAGCACUGACUGCUCUUCCAGUGGACCUGGGUUCAAUUCCCAG